Molecule: unclassified non-coding RNA, 315 nt
Filed under: plant metagenome
Description: partial contains 5.8S ribosomal RNA, internal transcribed spacer 2, and large subunit ribosomal RNA
Rfam family: 5.8S ribosomal RNA (bases 1-105)
Source: RNAcentral
GAACUGCGAUAAGUAAUGUGAAUUGCAGAAUUCAGUCAAUCAUCGAGUCUUUGAACGCACAUUGCGCCCCCUGGCAUUCCGGGGGGCAUGCCUGUCCGAGCGUCAUUGCUGCCCUUCAAGCCCGGCUUGUGUGUUGGGUCGUCGUCCCCUCCGGGGGACGGGCCCGAAAGGCAGCGGCGGCACCGCGUCCGGUCCUCGAGCGUAUGGGGCUUUGUCACCCGCUCGAUAAGGACCGGCCGGGCGCCAGCCGGCGUCUCCAACCUUUUUUUCUCAGGUUGACCUCGGAUCAGGUAGGGAUACCCGCUGAACUUAAGC